GACAUAUUCCAAGGAUUGUAACCUGCUCUGCAGAAGCCAUGUUCGAGCGAUCAUAGUAGCCGUAUUAUAAGAGGAAAAAAAAAUGUCAAUGUCUUGAUCUCAAUCAAGGAUAGAACUCACAUAUAAAAUUGAUGUUUUCAUACCACAGAGCAUUACACAGCGAUGAAAAGGAAGGAGUCAGUGGCAGCAGGUGCAGCCACCCUGGCCCCAGGAGGGCUCUGCAGCAGCUCGCGUUUCCUUUCUGGAUCUGGUGCCAAUUAGUGAGGCUGAGCCCAACCCCCACUGCCCAGAGCCUUGGACCACUGCUCAUGGGCCCAUCAACGGAGUCCUGAGGAACAAGAGCUCCUCAACCUCAUCUGGUGGCCUUUGCCUGCACAGCCCAGCAAGAGUGUCCACGACGAGCUGGGUAAAAAAUCCCAGAGAUGGGAUGAAAUGAACAUCAUGGUGACAUAUCCAGCUUUAGACAAAGACUGUGGUUUCAUGAAAAUAGAUGAACCCAUCCCUCCUUACCAUAGAUAGUAUGGUGUGAUGAUGAAGAUGACCCAGAAAUCCCUGAAGGCUGACCUUAGGCAAGAAAUUAGGUGCUGCUGCUGAAUGCUGGCAGCCAAAGUAUCUGGUUCAUGAACAAGAGAGCAGUGAAGAUGAGGAUAGUGACCUCCCACCUGAAAAACAAGAAGAAAAAAAAAAAAAAAAGCAAGUGUCAAUUUGAAAUGGAAGGAAGCUUCAGGGGCACCUGAGGGGCUCAGUGGUUGUGUUUGCCUUUGGGUCAGGUCGUGAUCCCAAAUCCUGGGAUCGAGUCCUGCAUCGGGUUCCCUGCAGCGAGCCUGCUUCUCCCUCUGCCUGUGUCUCCGCCUCUCUCUGAGUCUCUCAUGCAUAAAUAAAUAAAGUCUUUUAAAAAAAAGAAGGAAAGGAAGGAAGCUUCACUGCAAUGAAGGAUGGAAUAUUAAAUUAGCUAGACAAUUAAUUUCAAAGGACCUACAUGAGGAGAAGGAAGAUGAAGGAAUGUCAGAGACUGCAGCUGAAGAAAGCAUGAACACCAGGUCCCUGAAACCAAGGCUUGCCCAUUUUGAUUUCCAUAGCAAUGGGAGUAUUUAUGCCACACAUACCUGGUUGUGAAAGAAAGUCAUUCUGCAAAUGAUUUGUGGCAAAAUGAAGGUGAUGUCACAGCCACCACAGUCACUGUCACUCCCACACCUAUGGAGUCUGCAGACCUCACCCGUACUAUUCCAGGUGCCAGUUUUCUUCCAUUUGGCUCCUUUUAGCAGCCCAGCUAUGGCAAACUCUGAAGAUAUUUUAUCCUCUGUGGCAUUUUGGCUUAAGAAGAAUUUCAAAUUAAGAUACUUCCCUAAGGAGGACACAAAAUUUAAAGCCAACCUUUUCAGGAGGUUUCAGUCUUAAGUAGAAUGUGUCCUGUAUUUCCACAGGAUUCCCCCAACUGAAUAGAUUCCAGUGAUUCUGUUUGUUUUCCUCUCCAAAGGGCUGCAGAGCAGAAAUGGAAAAUAACAGAUUCCUAAUCCCAGAGAUAGCUGAACUGUGAAAUAUAUUAGUUCAGUGUGUGGUGAUGUAGUUAAUGACAGAGUAAGCUCAAUCUUUAAUGUCCUUGUGUGAUAUUUCUUUACUUUUAGCAACUACACCCUCAUUCUUCAAUCUAAAAAGCCAAUCAUUUCACCUCUCAAUUUUCUUUCAAGUUUGUCAAAAAAAAUCACUGGAAAUAAUAACUAUUGCACAGUCUUUGUAAGUUAAAAAUAUAAGUGGGAAAAUUUUUAACUGAUUUAAUUAUCAGGCCUGAUGUGGGGGAAACACAGGCACCAAACAGGCUUUCCCCCAUUUCUCCUCUGAUUUUUCUGCUCAUUCAUAGCUAAUGCAAACAUCCUCAAUCCAGAAACUGGAAACUCCAGGUCCCCAUCAGAGUCCAAAUGAGCACGAGAUAUGAAGACAUGCUUGCUUACCUUUCUCCAUUGAGGCCUGGCCCUGGGCAGGAUGCCAGCCCACAGAAGAUAGGGCAGGUCAGCAGCCCUCCUCCUGCUCCCCUAACUCAUCUCCUCCUCCGCUGCCAGCCUGCUCACCUGUGCUGAAGCCCUCCACCACCCCUGUGGUGCUGGAGCCACACCUGUAAGAGGGAGUAGGCAAUGUGAGAGGGAGGGAAAGCUCUCCCCCUACUGGCACUAUUGUAAGGUGGCUUCGUGCACUUUGGGCUCGUGGUUGGUGACACCAUUUUUGUCACUGGUGCUUUUGUGGGUGUUCUGGCAAUCGGCCCAUCAAUGUGGACUUUCGCUGAAAUUCUCUGGGGCUGGGCAUAUGAAUCUCUACCUGGCUGACUGCUUGAAGCUCCUAGGACUCAGAUGUCAUCUUCAGCUUCUCUGUGCUGAGCUGAAAGGGCUCUUCCAGAUGUUCUGAGACAAGACCUGAGCGAUCCAUUUUGAGGACCAUUCUUGAGAUGACAAGGAGGAGGAUAAUGGAUUUGGAGAAAGUGGUGAAAACCUGGGACAGUUGAAAUAGAGCAACUUGAUUUCCAUCUCCUAAGGACAUUACAAUGAUUGUAGCAAGGCAUGAAGAACACAAAUGAAAUUUGAGAUCCUGAAAUAUUCAGAUGUUGCAUCUGGAAGAUUUCUUGACAGCCCACAUGCAUCAGCAGAUUGUGGGUUGGGAAUUUUUGGCUGCAGUGUCAAACACAGGCACAAAUGAGUAAGACAUGGUUCCUCUAUCAGGCAAGUCAGGAAGUGCUAAUAAUCUCUAACCUUGUCUGACCAUCAGCAUUUCCAGGCGUUCCCUGGGGCACUCACCCACAGGUGUCCAGGCGAGAAUACAAUGCGGAUGGAGGACUACAGCAUGUCAGGGCUGUGUGAAGUACCUGCCCAGGUGCAUCUGCCCUCGAGAAGGAGGCACAGCCAGAACAUGAGAACUCCCAGAACCAUCUAUGGCAAUGCUCUCUGACCCUCAGACGUUCCAAAAUGAUGAAAACCAAGAGUAACCCCAACCUAACAGACCCAACCCAUAGCCUGUUCUCGAAACUUCCCAAACCAACGCCGAAACUCGCCCCACCCAUCAUGCCUCCAGGCCAAUGGGCAGGACAAAAACUCAGGAAGAACAUUCAAUGCCCAGACAAGUAAGUGUGUUGUUUUGUUUUCCCAAGCAGUACUGAUGGAAGUUUAAAUAAACAAGCACUCACCCCUCCCGCCAAGGAAGGGCGGGAAGCAGCAGUCAGGUGUGUGAACACGAUGAACACAGGAUGAUAGGGGGCCAGAUAGGAACAGACCAGCCCCAGGAAAGCCCACUUCCUUUAUAUGCUGUCUGUGUUUUCCCAUAGGGGUUCUUGGGGGCAACUCUAUACGAGCAGUAAGAGCUCACUGAAGACUUACUUUGAAAAAAAGACCUAAAAGAGAAGCGUUUGUAGACUCAAUUUAAUGUGGCAUCGGGUAUGUGGCACCACUGCAUUCUGCCCUGGUGCAAGCAGGCUUUCCUGCCGCGUAGAGCCUGUAAAGUCCUCUCUUUCUACAGCCAGGGUGGCAGAGACAGUUUCAAAGAAAAUGAAACACUGCUUAGUCACACAAGUUUUCCAUUCUUCCUGUUUUCUGCUUCUUUGAUUAAAUGAUAGUUCCUAAAUGGGAGUAAUCAUUAUUUGUCAAAUCUUUCACAACAAUUCUUUUUUUAAAAGGAGGAUCUUAAAUAAUAAAUCAUGAGUCACCUCUCUUAUUUCCCCUAAAUGGCAUUAAGGUCAAGUUGCAGCACAAUUGAUUUCCACGUGUGUAUCUGUCUUUUCUCCAAGGGUAGGCUAUUAAAGGUAGUGAGGAUAAAAAUCAUUCCUAACUAAUUAGCUCACUCUAGAGCUAACUGCCAAUUUUUGGAACAUGUUAAAGCUCUCUCUCGGAGAGCUGGUUACCAAACUGUCACUUCAAUCAAUGGUAAAAAAAACAUACCAAUUUUUUUUUUCUGGUCUCCCUCUAAGCAAAUAAUUUAUCUCCCAUCUUUUGAGAGUUGCACACAGUUUGAGAUGGUAGGACAAAGAUCCCAUGAAAGUUUUCAUGGC
Molecule: long non-coding RNA, 4027 nt
Organism: Canis lupus familiaris (dog)
Lineage: Eukaryota; Metazoa; Chordata; Mammalia; Carnivora; Canidae
Exons: 4
Source: RefSeq, a predicted model, not a curated record